This 212-nucleotide ribosomal RNA is filed under the name Vreelandella titanicae. Its description in RNAcentral is "Halomonas titanicae 16S rRNA. Bacterial SSU". It matches the Rfam family "Bacterial small subunit ribosomal RNA", at positions 1 to 216 of the family's 1533-position model. Lineage: Bacteria; Pseudomonadati; Pseudomonadota; Gammaproteobacteria; Oceanospirillales; Halomonadaceae. The record is from RNAcentral.
UUAAACUGAAGAGUUUGAUCAUGGCUCAGAUUGAACGCUGGCGGCAGGCCUAACACAUGCAAGUCGAGCGGUAACAGGGGUAGCUUGCUACCCGCUGACGAGCGGCGGACGGGUGAGUAAUGCAUAGGAAUCUGCCCGAUAGUGGGGGAUAACCUGGGGAAACCCAGGCUAAUACCGCAUACGUCCUACGGGAGAAAGGGGGCUUCGGCUCC